AUACGGAGGGUGCAAGCGUUGUUCGGAAUUACUGGGCGUAAAGCGCGUGUAGGCGGCUUGGCAAGUCGGAUGUGAAAGCCCGGGGCUCAACCCCGGAACUGCAUCCGAAACUGCCUAGCUAGAGUCCCGGAGAGGAAGGCAGAAUUCCCAGUGUAGGGGUGAAAUCCGUAGAUAUUGGGAGGAAUACCAGUGGCGAAGGCGGCCUUCUGGACGGUGACUGACGCUCAGACGCGAAAGCGUGGGGAGCAAACAGGAUUAGAAACCCCGGUAGUCC
This 274-nucleotide ribosomal RNA is filed under the name uncultured bacterium. Its description in RNAcentral is "partial 16S ribosomal RNA". It matches the Rfam family "Bacterial small subunit ribosomal RNA", at positions 523 to 796 of the family's 1533-position model. The record is from RNAcentral.